UUUAAGUUGGUCCAAAUCAGGAUUCCAUAUCAAGUAUUGUGCAAUAGCAAGAAAUUUUCAAUUGCACAGUAUUGCACAAUAGCAAGAAAUAUCUAAUUGCACAAUAUUGUGCAAUAGCAAUUAAUUUUCAAUCGGAGUUAUCUUUCUUUGUAUAGAAUAGUAGUUGAUAAUAUAUGUUGGAAAUUUGCCAGACAUGACUAUGAUGUCAUUUUCUAUUUUUAUUUGCCAAUAAC
RNAcentral lists this long non-coding RNA (233 nucleotides) under Mytilus galloprovincialis (Mediterranean mussel). Lineage: Eukaryota; Metazoa; Mollusca; Bivalvia; Mytilida; Mytilidae. The record is from RNAcentral.